Molecule: ribosomal RNA, 253 nt
Filed under: uncultured bacterium
Lineage: Bacteria
Description: partial 16S ribosomal RNA
Rfam family: Bacterial small subunit ribosomal RNA
Source: RNAcentral
UACGUAGGGUGUGAGCGUUGUCCGGAAUUAUUGGGCGUAAAGAGCUUGUAGGUGGUUUGUCGCGUCUGCUGUGAAAAUCCGAGGCUCAACCUCGGACUUGCAGUGGGUACGGGCAGACUAGAGUGUGGUAGGGGAGACUGGAAUUCCUGGUGUAGCGGUGGAAUGCGCAGAUAUCAGGAGGAACACCGAUGGCGAAGGCAGCUCGCUGGGACGGAACUGACGCUAAGGCGCGAAAGCGUGGGGAGCGAGCAGG